UAGCCUCUUGCUCUUUUUGUCUUUUAUGUAUCAAGCAUCUUUUUGUCAUCCCAUAGGAAAGAAAAUGGGAAUCCUGGGACCACUCCAUGACAGUCCUUCAAAGGUCAAACUUGGAUUCAGUAAAGACAUCCUGGCAGAGAGAGCUACAUGAUUUCAAAAUAAAGGAUCCAAGCUUUUUAUAUCUAAAUCAGGUUACAACACAAUGUUUGGAUUGCUGUUAUGUCGACCUCACUUAUGUGGCUUCCUGGACUUCUGAACUCUGGUUUGCUUUUGCCCACACAUCUGAGUGACCCUUAAUGUAUUUAUUGAAGACCUGUUACGUCACCUGCAACUCUACACUGCCAAGUAAAAGCUCAGAUAAACAACUUCUGACUGGGAAGAUUUCUUCAUCAAAAAUACCUCAAUUGUUUUUUGUUUUCAUAAAGUGAUUCCAAGAGAAGUAUUAAAGGCCUUUAGGUGACAUUCUCCGAGCGCAUGCUGUGGAUUGCCUAAGUGAUAUUCCAGAGGCUUCUAUUUCACGAUGGUGAACUGAGGCCAAGAAUUUGCCUUCCCUCCUUCCUGAGAUACUUUCAAAAUGAUCGAAAGGAAUUUCUUAAUGAUAAAUCAAUAAUAAUGAAGAGAACAGGAGGGGAGCCAUCUCUGAAGAAGAAAUUUUGACAGAUUUUAGGAAGACAAAACGCAUUUGGAAGAAUGUCAGUACAUCAACAGAUAAACCAGAGAAAAGGUAUAUGCGGCCCAGAGUACAUGAGGUGAGUGACAAUGGAGGACAGUGGAGAAAGGAGUGCGUCUUAUAGGCAGGACUCCAGGCUGAACCCCAGCCAAAAAAAAUAAAGUCUUUCCCUCUGAAGACAUUAAUUAUUUUGUUUGGUGUGAGUAUUGACAUCCUAAAGUAAGGUUUUCUUGUUCAGGAAUACCCUAGAGAGAAGCUUGCCAGUUGAUAGGACAAGCCCCCAGACACAGAAACUGACAGCAUUGCUAUUCUUCACUCCUAAAAAUGAGUUGACACCUAAAGAUGAACAAACAUUUAAAGGGGAAAGAUAAACAAACCCAUCAUAAAACAGCUUUCUUAUUUACUUAUUCUUAAAAAUUAAUGGACUAAUAAGAUACUUGAGGGAAAAAUAGAAAAGCACAUCAUAAGAGAUCGAAUUCAAGAAAACAGAGACUUAAAAGGACAUUAUAUCCAGAAGAGAAAACCAGGAAACCAGAUUUCUUUUCCUUAAACAAAAAUGAGAGUGAGCAGUGAAUAUUUCUGGGAAAUUAAAUUGUCAAAAUUAAAAAAUAAUAAUAGCUAAGAAAGAUUCUUCUUUAAAGAUGUUAUUUUUAAGUCAUCUCUACUUCCAAAAUGGAGCUCCAAGUCACAACCCUGAGAUCAAGAGUUUCAUGUUUUACCAACUGAGCCAUCCAGGCAUCCCAAAAACUAAAAAUUUAUUAAUAGAAAGAUUAGAAGAUGGAAUUGAGGAAAUUUCCUAUAAUAUUGAGCAAAAUGACAAAGGAAGGAUAAUAAGAGAAUAAGAAUGAGGUUUGGAGGACAAAUGCAGCCCUUAAUAGCCAAUUAAGAGAAACUCAGAAAGCAAUAAGAAAGUAGGGAAGAAAGUUAUCAAAGAUACAAUAAAAUAAUUCCAAGAGCUGAAGGGAAACACAAAUAUUGAUCAGAAUUAAUUAAAAAAAGACUUAGCCCUUGAAAUAUCAAAUCCCCCAGGAUAGUGUUUCUGAGCUCUCAGUGGGAGUGGGGAGGAAUGUAAACCAGGAACUAUAAGGGAAUUUGAAUCAAAAUGGAUCAGAUUUCUCAUCAGCAAUGACGGAUCUUGGAAGACACUGAAAUAAAGGCUUCAGAA
RNAcentral lists this long non-coding RNA (1835 nucleotides) under Canis lupus familiaris (dog). RNAcentral describes it as "lncRNA (ENSCAFG00845005912.1)". Lineage: Eukaryota; Metazoa; Chordata; Mammalia; Carnivora; Canidae. The record is from RNAcentral.